UUCCAGAGUUUUUUUGGGUCGUUUUCCCUUUAAUAGUGGUAAAUGUCUGUCCUUAAGUAAUUGUAAUAACAGUGAUGUAAGGUUACAAUUCCACUAUAAUGUAUGUUGUGAAGGAUUAUCACCAUGCUAAGGAAAACAUAGUUCCCUCCAUUUUGUUAACAGUUUACCUGCAGCUGCUGAAUACACUGCCAACUUUCAAACCUAAGGUACCAUCUCAGCAUUGAAAGAAAUGUAAUUGUAAUUGACCUUACCUCAAUUGAAAGACAUGCCAUUUCAUGAACCAUGCCAAAAAACCUAUUUAGAGUUAGUUAUCCAUUUAUUGAUCGCUCUCUGGUAAAUGAUUCAUACUUAUGAAUACAUUUUAAACAUUUUGUAAAUAUCAUAGCCUCAAAGUAAAUCUCAGUUACGGUUAUGUAUAACAUUUAUCAGUAUUAUAAAUUGUUUGCGCCCUAUCAGUUGUAGAGAAUGAAUACUGGUAACUGAAAUCCUGGCGUCAUAAGCAGGGUGUAGUACUUAGAGGAGGGGCCGCAUCCAUUUUCUGUUUCACUGUUGUGUGUUUGCCUGUGUGAGCAUAUCAGACCAUGCAAAGAGUCCUUUUCUGUUACAGGCUUGCAUUAUGCACCAUCCCCAACGGUGGCAAAGUAUCAGAGGAUUCAGCAGCUAAAACGUAGACAAUGCAACAGAAUAAACUUGAUCCCACACUGCUGGAUUGCACACAUUUGUAUGGUUUGCUCUACAAAAGGAGUAUCUCUUUACAUUUGCUAUAUUUCCCCUUGUGUGUUUCUCCUCCACACCUACCUCCAACCCUUCAUUUGAUCCAUGGCAGUUGGCAGUAGGCCAAUUGUGAUCUAUGCAGUUCACAACUCAUACUCUGCCCAGGCGCAGCCUUUAAAAAAAAAAAAAAAACAUCACUUAAAAUGUCCAUUCUAUUAUUAGGUGUUAUUGCAUGUCCCAUAUACUACAACCCACAGUACUAAAAUGAAGAUUUGAGAAGGUGAUGAUGUAGAGACUACGUGCUUUGUGGCCUGCAGGCCUUUUAUAUGACUGUUAACCUCUAGUCCUUAAGUGCCACUGCAGAGCUGGACAGUCAGAAUAUAGCACAAACUGAAUUCAUAUAUACCUUAUUGAACAGACAUGAUUUUCCACUUGACAAUUCAGAUUUAUUUUAGACAUGCAUAAGAAACAGAUUUCAGGUUACAGAACAGCAAUAAAACCAUUGCACUAUUCGAACAAGCCAGUAGCAGUCUUUUUUUCAUAGCAUCAUCACACAAUUACAUGCACAAUUUAGCACUUGAUAGGGUAUCAGGGAUUUUUUGUAGAUUCAUUGUUUAUAUGCAUGGUUAUAAAAUAACCUUAUCCCAAAGAAUUACUCUGUUAUAAAUCAAGAAAAGCCUCACAUUGCUCUAAACUGAUGCCCCAUAGGUAAACAAGUUUACAGGAAGCUGACAAAUAGUACAUUACAGUACAGAGACUGGCUACUCUUGAAAUCAGAUUCACACAAGGAAUGUAUAGAGAAUUUAAAGGGAUACACUUGCUCUUUUGGUGAAAACAUGCACAAUUGUUGAAUGUUAAAGAACAG
Long non-coding RNA from Esox lucius (northern pike), 1579 nucleotides. The record is from Ensembl. NCBI's taxonomy places the organism in Eukaryota, Metazoa, Chordata, Actinopteri, Esociformes, Esocidae.